GUAGUCUGCAACCCGACUACAUGAAGCUGGAAUCGCUAGUAAUCGCGGAUCAGAAUGCCGCGGUGAAUACGUUCCCGGGUCUUGUACACACCGCCCGUCACACCAUGGGAGUCGGAAAUGCCCGAAGUCUGUGACCCAACCGAAAGGAGGGAGCAGCCGAAGGCAGGUCGGAUGACUGGGGUGAAGUCGUAACAAGGUAAC
RNAcentral lists this ribosomal RNA (201 nucleotides) under uncultured bacterium. RNAcentral describes it as "partial 16S ribosomal RNA". It matches the Rfam family "Bacterial small subunit ribosomal RNA", at positions 1300 to 1500 of the family's 1533-position model. The record is from RNAcentral.